UACGUAGGCAGCAAGCGUUGUUCGGAGUUACUGGGCGUAAAGAGUAUGUAGGCGGUUGGGUAAGUUUGGUGUGAAAUCUCCCGGCUCAACUGGGAGGGUGCGCCGAAUACUGAGGGACUAGAGUACGGGAGAGGAAAGUGGAAUUCCUGGUGUAGCGGUGAAAUGCGUAGAUAUCAGGAGGAACACCGGUGGUGUAGACGGCUUUCUGGACCGUAACUGACGCUGAGACACGAAAGCGUGGGUAGCAAACAGG
RNAcentral lists this ribosomal RNA (253 nucleotides) under uncultured bacterium. Its description in RNAcentral is "partial 16S ribosomal RNA". It matches the Rfam family "Bacterial small subunit ribosomal RNA", at positions 524 to 776 of the family's 1533-position model. The record is from RNAcentral.